RNAcentral lists this ribosomal RNA (965 nucleotides) under Microbacterium sp. KSA24. RNAcentral describes it as "bacterial SSU rRNA". It matches the Rfam family "Bacterial small subunit ribosomal RNA", at positions 56 to 1033 of the family's 1533-position model. The record is from RNAcentral. Lineage: Bacteria; Bacillati; Actinomycetota; Actinomycetes; Micrococcales; Microbacteriaceae.
UGCAGUCGAACGAUGAAGCCUAGCUUGCUGGGUGGAUUAGUGGCGAACGGGUGAGUAACACGUGAGCAACCUGCCCCUGACUCUGGGAUAAGCGCUGGAAACGGCGUCUAAUACUGGAUAUGUCCCAUCACCGCAUGGUGUGUGGGUGGAAAGAUUUUUCGGUUGGGGAUGGGCUCGCGGCCUAUCAGCUUGUUGGUGAGGUAAUGGCUCACCAAGGCGUCGACGGGUAGCCGGCCUGAGAGGGUGACCGGCCACACUGGGACUGAGACACGGCCCAGACUCCUACGGGAGGCAGCAGUGGGGAAUAUUGCACAAUGGGCGGAAGCCUGAUGCAGCAACGCCGCGUGAGGGAUGACGGCCUUCGGGUUGUAAACCUCUUUUAGCAGGGAAGAAGCGAGAGUGACGGUACCUGCAGAAAAAGCACCGGCUAACUACGUGCCAGCAGCCGCGGUAAUACGUAGGGUGCAAGCGUUAUCCGGAAUUAUUGGGCGUAAAGAGCUCGUAGGCGGUCUGUCGCGUCUGCUGUGAAAUUCCGAGGCUCAACCUCGGGCUUGCAGUGGGUACGGGCAGACUAGAGUGCGGUAGGGGAGAUUGGAAUUCCUGGUGUAGCGGUGGAAUGCGCAGAUAUCAGGAGGAACACCGAUGGCGAAGGCAGAUCUCUGGGCCGUAACUGACGCUGAGGAGCGAAAGGGUGGGGAGCAAACAGGCUUAGAUACCCUGGUAGUCCACCCCGUANACGUUGGGAACUAGUUGUGGGGUCCUUUCCACGGAUUCCGUGACGCAGCUUACGCAUUAAGUUCCCCGCCUGGGGAGUACGGCCGCAAGGCUAAAACUCANAGGAAUUGACGGGGACCCGCACAAGCGGCGGAGCAUGCGGAUUAAUUCGAUGCAACGCGAAGAAACUUACCAAGGCUUGACAUACACGAGAACGGGCCAGAAAUGGUCAACUCUUUGGACACUCGUGA